Molecule: ribosomal RNA, 562 nt
Filed under: uncultured bacterium
Lineage: Bacteria
Description: bacterial SSU rRNA
Rfam family: Bacterial small subunit ribosomal RNA
Source: RNAcentral
GCGCACGGGUGAGUACACGUGACUAACCUACCCUUGAGUGGGGAAUAACUUCGGGAAACCGAGGCUAAUACCGCAUAAUACCUACGGGUCAAAGGAGCAAUUCGCUUAAGGAGGGGGUCGCGGCAGAUUAGUUAGUUGGCGGGGUAAUGGCCCACCAAGACAGUGAUCUGUAUCCGGCCUGAGAGGGCGCACGGACACACUGGAACUGAAACACGGUCCAGACUCCUACGGGAGGCAGCAGUGGGGAAUUUUGCGCAAUGGGGGAAACCCUGACGCAGCAACGCCGCGUGGAGGAUGAAGCCCCUUGGGGCGUAAACUCCUUUCGAUCGGGAAGAUAAUGACGGUACCGGAAGAAGAAGCCCCGGCUAACUUCGUGCCAAGCAGCCGCGGUAAUACGAGGGGGGCGAGCGUUGUUCGGAAUUAUUGGGCGUAAAGGGCGCGUAGGCGGUUGGACAAGUCUUGUGUGAAAUCUUCAGGCUCAACCUGAAGUCUGCAUAGGAAACUGUCCGGCUUGAGUGUGGGAGAGGUGCGUGGGAAUUCCCGGGGUGUAACCAGGUGAAAU